UCAGCCUGCUAAGCCGGGACACAGUGUUCCCGUUCCAGUUCCCAGGGGAGGGGGGCACUGAGUCGCUCGGGUGGUUUACGGUGCUGUUGCCUGCAGAGCGUUCAAGCGAGAACACCCUUCUAUAAAGGAAAUUGCACUUGGCGCUGUGGCUGAUCUUCACGAGGAGGCUGUCUCUCUGUCACCGUUGGACUCCUGCGGUCAAUCAUUAACUGAACAGAGAAGAAAAACACUCAGUAACUCAGCAAACAGCAGCGAGGGACAGAUGAGAGCGGAGGGGAAAACUGACUGAGAAAAACACAGCCAGCAAAACAAGCACA
Long non-coding RNA from Polyodon spathula (Mississippi paddlefish), 317 nucleotides. RefSeq lists it as uncharacterized. The transcript has 2 exons. The record is from RefSeq and is a predicted model, not a curated record. NCBI's taxonomy places the organism in Eukaryota, Metazoa, Chordata, Actinopteri, Acipenseriformes, Polyodontidae.